Long non-coding RNA from Cygnus olor (mute swan), 998 nucleotides. RefSeq lists it as uncharacterized. NCBI's taxonomy places the organism in Eukaryota, Metazoa, Chordata, Aves, Anseriformes, Anatidae. The record is from RefSeq and is a predicted model, not a curated record. The transcript is spliced from 6 exons.
CGCCCAUUGUGCAGCCUCCGCGCCCCCGCCCCUCGGCGUGCGCCCGGGCUCCGCGCGCGCGGAAUGGCGGCGGCGGCCGUUUGAAGGCAACGGCUGCGGGCGGGGCGCGAGCCGGGAAAAUAGUGUAGAAGGAUAACACGCAUGGCUCCUCCGAAGUCGAGUUUUAUCGAAGCAAGCGUGCCUCGAUGUCCAUAAUCUUUUCUCCCUGAAUCUGGUUGUGUGCUGCAAACCUCCGUUGCUCUCUGUAGUUCCUCUGUGCCUACCUCCAGAGACCAGAUGAGAGCGAGGAAUGCAGGGAAGCGGAGGGUUCAUGGUCUGCGCGUUGUGGACAAAGAAAGAAAGAGCUUUGCCAUCCAUCAUCAGUCACGCCAGCCAAGGAUGCCCCAGGUAGUCAAGAGCCUUCUAUGAACAGAGUCUUAUCUGCAAGGCGUCACCCUGACGAUUUUUCCUCCUUUCACCGUUCUCCUCUCCUCAUCACUUUUCCACCAAAUUGCUGUACUUUACUUGCUGAGAAAGUACCUGGUCUGAGCAGCAGACAGUAGCCUAAGUCGUGGAGUAAAUCGCUGUUGACAGUUCUUGCCUUUUCACUGCUUGAUGAGUGAACUUGUAAGUAAAAUGCUCUGUUCUCUUCUGGUGGUGGAGGCAAGUCUUCCACGUGUGGUCAAGCAGAAUGCAGGACUCGUUUCAAUGUGCAGAUCUCAUGCACGUGGCUAGGCAAGUCGGUGUAUUCCAAUUACUAACUUGCCGCAGGUGUCAAGCUCUGCUUAUUUACAUUGGCAGGUCACCUUAACAUGAGCGUGUGGAAGAAGGCUUAAUCAUUUUAACAGACUAUAUAACGAGUCAUAUAGUUUCCAGAGGGACCUGGACAGGCUAGUAAUUUGCAGCAAGAUCAAGAGGAUAGCAAGGAAUCAUGUUUUGACCAGUAAAUUCUAGAAUGUAGAGACAAUAAACAUGUAAUUUUAUUUGAAAUAACUAGUAUAACUUAAAGAUAUAGGGAU